RNAcentral lists this ribosomal RNA (199 nucleotides) under uncultured bacterium. RNAcentral describes it as "partial 16S ribosomal RNA". It matches the Rfam family "Bacterial small subunit ribosomal RNA", at positions 328 to 539 of the family's 1533-position model. The record is from RNAcentral.
ACGCUCGACACCUACGGGAGGCAGCAGUGGGGAAUAUUGCACAAUGGGGGAAACCCUGAUGCAGCGACGCCGCGUGGAGGAAGAAGGUCUUCGGAUUGUAAACUCCUGUUGUUGGGGAAAAAGAGGAUGGUACCCAAACAAGGAAGUGACGGCUAACUACGUGUCAGCAGCCGCGGUAAUCUGAGCGGGCUGGCAAGGC